GUACUCGCUUUGGCGGUACAUAUACUAAAGUUGGAACAAUACACAGAAGAUUAGCAUGGCCCCUACGCAAGGACGACACGGAAAAUCGUGAAGCGUUCAGCCGGCGC
This is a small nuclear RNA of Schistocerca piceifrons (Central American locust), 107 nucleotides long. The record is from RefSeq and is a predicted model, not a curated record. Lineage: Eukaryota; Metazoa; Arthropoda; Insecta; Orthoptera; Acrididae.